GCAUAGGUGGUUCAGUAGUAAAAUUCUUGCCUCCCAUGCUGGAGACCCAGGUUUGAUCCCUGACCAGUGCA
This 71-nucleotide transfer RNA is filed under the name Loxodonta africana (African savanna elephant). It matches the Rfam family "tRNA". From Rfam's summary of the family: Transfer RNA (tRNA) molecules are approximately 80 nucleotides in length. The record is from Rfam by way of RNAcentral. Lineage: Eukaryota; Metazoa; Chordata; Mammalia; Proboscidea; Elephantidae.